CUUUCUGAGCUCAGUCCUGUAUUUCUCGUAUGUUAAACUGGGUGGGGAAGAGAAAGAUUAGCACUGUGUCUGAAUUGGAUUUUUGCUCUGUUAGCUUGUGCUGUGUGAAGGGGGAAGGCAGAUGCUUAACCCUCAGCAGGGUCGCACCACUAAAGUCAGCUUUGCAACCUCCUCUUCCUUGCCAAUGUUCCUGUGAAGAUCCUCCAGGCAAUCUGCACGGAGCAGGCUCUGGCUCACAUCUGUGAGAUCAGCUGCUUGGUGGCAUCUCAUCCCUGUGAAGGGCUGGAGCUGCUUCAUCUCAGCUCCUGCUGAGUUCUGAGGUCAGAGAAGUUGUGAGUCUCUGCUACAAGAGGAAGCUCAGUGAGUGGCAGGGUGUCACAGCCUCUGCUCAGAUGAGAUUGCAGCUGGAGAUAUAAAGGGAAGAGCAGCAACACUGAAGAUUUAUUUACAAAUGGUCAAACCACCCUCUCCAGCUAAGAGGCCACAAAUGGUAACAGCAGCAUGAAAUACAGCAGCUACAAAAGAGAAGAGUUAAGAUGAGGACAGUUUUGGUGAGAUUUGUCACUGUACUGAAAGCAGGAAGGACUGGCUCUAUACUCAAGACCUUGGAGCUGCUAUUGUUUUACACACUCCUGGACACUCAUGAGAUCUUACCUAAGAUCCAUCCCUGGCAUUUGAGGAUGCAUCCCAACUGAAUCAAUAAAGCUCUGAGAAUUACCUAA
Molecule: long non-coding RNA, 722 nt
Organism: Passer domesticus (house sparrow)
Lineage: Eukaryota; Metazoa; Chordata; Aves; Passeriformes; Passeridae
Exons: 3
Source: RefSeq, a predicted model, not a curated record